AACUUUAAAGGCUGAAGAGGGAAAAGGUUCCAUGUGAACGACACUUGCACAUGGGUUAGUCGAUCCUAAGAAUUGGGGGGAACCCCAACAAAUAGCGGAUUUUGCACGUACUCUGAAAGGGAUUCAGGUUAAAAUUCUUGGACUAGGAAGUGGCGAUCGACGGCAACGUUAGACUUCUACGUGCUAUGGACAUUGGCCUGUGGGCUCCCCAUUCGAGCCGUCAUAAAAAAGGACCAAGGAAUCUGACAUGUGUGUGAGUCAACGGGUGAGUAAACCCAUAAGGUGUAAGGAAGCUGAUUGGUGGUGUCCUCCCGAGGGGUGCACGGCUGACCGACCUUGAUCUUCCGAGAAGGGUUCGAGUAUGAGCAUACCUGUCGGGACCCAAAAGAUGGUGAACUAUGCCUGAGCGGGGAGAAGCCAGAGGAAACUCUGGUGGAUGCCCAUAGCGAUACUGAUAUGCAAAUCGUUCUUCUGACUUGGGUAUAGGGCCCGCGACUGCUUUAUCUGGCCUUGCCAUGGAAUCAAGAGCUCCAAGUGGGCUAUUUUUGGUAAGCAGAACUAGAGAUACGGGAUGAACCAAAAGUCGGGUUACGGUGCUAAACUGCACGCUAACCUAGAUCCCACAAAAGGUGUUGGUUGAUUAAGACAGAAGAACGAUAGACAUGGAAGUCCAAAUUCGCUAAGGAGUAUGUAACAACUCUCCUGCCAAAUAAACUAGCCCCGAAAAUGAAUGGCGCUUAUGUGAGCGACCUACACCAGGCCGUUGAGGAAAGUUCCAGGCCCCGAUGAGUAGGAGGGCACAGCGGUCGCUGUAAAACCUUGGGCAAGAGCCUGGGCAGAGCGACUGUCGGUGCAGAUAUUAAUAGUAGUAGCAAAUAUUCAAAUGAUAACUUUGAAGGCCGAAGAGUGGAAAGGUUCCUUGUGAACAGCACUUGCACAUGGAUUAGUUGAUCCUAAGGGUCAGGGGAACACCGACAGAUAGCGCAUUUCAUGCGUACUCCAAAAGGGAAUCGAGUUAAAAUUCCUGGAUCGGGACGUGGUGGUUGAAGGCAAUGUUAGGAAGUCGAGAGACGUCGGCGGAAGCCUCGAGAAGAGUUAUCUUUUCUGUUUAGCAGCCUGCCAACCCUGGAAUCAGCUCAGCUGGAGGUAGGGUCCAGUGGUUGAAAGAGCACCACACAUUACGUGGUGUCCUGUCCACUACUGGUGGCCCUUCAAAAUCCAGAGGACCAAAUGCCGUCCACGCUCGAUCGUACUUAUAACCACAUCAGGUCCCAAAGGGGAACAGCCUCUGGUUGAUGGAAUAAUGUAGGCAAGGAAAGUCAGCAAAAUAGAUCCGUAACUUCUGGAAAAGGAUUGGCACUGAGGGCUGGACACGAGGGUCCUAGUCCCGAACUCGUUGGAUGUUGGUGGACUACUCGAGCUACUCCCGCAGUGAGAGCGGGUCGCCGCAUGCCGGUCAGGGGACAUAGCCAACUCAAAACUGGUAUGGACAAGGGGAAUCCGACUAUUUAAUUAAAACAAAGCAUUGUGAUGGUCCCAACAGAUGUUUACGCAUUAUGAUUUUUUCCUAGUGCUCUGAAUGUCAAAGUGAAGAAAUUCAACCAAGAGCGGGUAAACAGCAGGAGUAACUAUGACUCUCUUAAGGUAGCCAAAUGCCUCGCCAUCUAAUUAGUGAUGCGCAUGAAUGGAUUAAUAAGAUUCCCACUAUCCUUGUCUACUAUCCAGCGAAACCACAGCUAAGGGAACGGGCUUGGCAGAAUCAGCGGGUAAAAGAAGACCCUCUUGAGCUUGACUCUACUCAGACANGGCCUUUUGCGCAAAACAACGGCAUCGGAACUAGAGGUUUUCCACGAUUUGGAGUGCUGGCUUAAGUGCUCAGGAUGCACCAAGAACAACAUUGGUGCAUGGAGGCAUGUCGCAAUUAGAGGUUUUUAUAACCGUUGAGUGCAAUGCUAGAGGCACAUUCAAUAACAAACGCCGAUGGACAUAUAGUGGCCUACCAUGGUGGUGUCUUUGUCAAGUUGGAUAUCCGUGCACCAGCACCAUCGCCCCUAAAUCACCAUGGGCACAAGGAACCAACGCACCAUGGAACCAAGGCACAAAGGCGCCAUGGCACCAACGCACCAUGGCACAAAGGCACCAAGGAACCAUGGAAACAAGGCACCGAGGCACCAUGGCACUAUUCACCAAGGCACCGUGGCACUAAGGCACCAUGGCACCAUGGAAACGGGUAGAAAGGAACCGUGGCACCAUGGAACGAAGGCACCGUGGCACCAUGGCACAGUGGAACAAAGGCACCAAGGCAACGUCGCACCAUGAUACAAAGGCACCGUGGCUCAAUGGCUCUAUGGCUCUAUGUGACCAAGGCAUCGUGGUGU
Molecule: ribosomal RNA, 2378 nt
Filed under: Capsicum chinense (habanero)
Lineage: Eukaryota; Viridiplantae; Streptophyta; Magnoliopsida; Solanales; Solanaceae
Description: eukaryotic LSU rRNA
Rfam family: Eukaryotic large subunit ribosomal RNA (bases 1-1814)
Source: RNAcentral